GUAGCAGUGGUUCCGUGGCAGGAUUCUUGCCUUCCAUGCCGAAGACUCAGGUUCAAUUCCUGGCUGAUGCA
This 71-nucleotide transfer RNA is filed under the name Loxodonta africana (African savanna elephant). It matches the Rfam family "tRNA". Rfam says of the family: Transfer RNA (tRNA) molecules are approximately 80 nucleotides in length. Their secondary structure includes four short double-helical elements and three loops (D, anti-codon, and T loops). Further hydrogen bonds mediate the characteristic L-shaped molecular structure. tRNAs have two regions of fundamental functional importance: the anti-codon, which is responsible for specific mRNA codon recognition, and the 3' end, to which the tRNAs corresponding amino acid is attached (by aminoacyl-tRNA synthetases). tRNAs cope with the degeneracy of the genetic code in two manners: having more than one tRNA (with a specific anti-codon) for a particular amino acid; and 'wobble' base-pairing, i.e. permitting non-standard base-pairing at the 3rd anti-codon position. The record is from Rfam by way of RNAcentral. Lineage: Eukaryota; Metazoa; Chordata; Mammalia; Proboscidea; Elephantidae.